CGAUAAUCUAAUUAUAUUAACUAAUUUCUUACCGCUUUUCAGUCAUUGGACUAUCAGGAUACGUUACUAAACUAGCGCUCGAUGUACGAGGUGUAUUUCUGGGUUCUUCCUCUUCUUCCAUUAUUCCUGAAUAAAUAAUUGAAAACUAGAAGGAAACUCACGGCAUAUCUGCAACGCUGCCACGAUAAGUCUUCCUCUUGUAUGCUGCUGCUGCUUCGGUGUAAGGUAAGAUAAGAUUUUCUGCAUCAAAGUAAAUAUCUUUUACAAGAGGCGGACAGCGAGUCAUUAAAGUAUCCACGCCCAGAUAUGACACCUACAGCAAAAGCAAACAUUCGCAAGUUUUCAACUAGCCAAAUUGUUGAUGAUCGAGAAAUAUGAUUCUUACUUUGACAUGACGAUCGAUAAGCCAAUUCAAUUCGAAAUCCUCGUCAUCGUCGCCAAAAGGAUUUAUUAAUUGUUCAGCUACCUGUAGUGAAUCGCCAAAUUAGUUUCUGUAUCAUUUUAUUAUUUAUAUCGUAUUUACCUUUAAUAAACCCAUGAAGAAAAAAAAUUGUAGAAUCGUAAAUAGAGGACAAUAUAUGUCGACUUUUAGCUGAAA
Long non-coding RNA from Vespula pensylvanica (western yellowjacket), 598 nucleotides. RefSeq lists it as uncharacterized. The record is from RefSeq and is a predicted model, not a curated record. The transcript is spliced from 2 exons. NCBI's taxonomy places the organism in Eukaryota, Metazoa, Arthropoda, Insecta, Hymenoptera, Vespidae.